Molecule: ribosomal RNA, 78 nt
Filed under: Bacillus subtilis
Lineage: Bacteria; Bacillati; Bacillota; Bacilli; Caryophanales; Bacillaceae
Also listed under: 7 other names
Description: partial 16S ribosomal RNA
Rfam family: Bacterial small subunit ribosomal RNA
Source: RNAcentral
UUAUCGGAGAGUUUGAUCCUGGCUCAGGACGAACGCUGGCGGCGUGCCUAAUACAUGCAAGUCGAGCGGACAGAUGGG